Molecule: RNA transcript, 1206 nt
Organism: Drosophila pseudoobscura
Lineage: Eukaryota; Metazoa; Arthropoda; Insecta; Diptera; Drosophilidae
Gene name: accessory gland-specific peptide 70A
Exons: 3
Source: RefSeq, a predicted model, not a curated record
CUUUUUACUCACAAGCGGCUACCCAGGACAGGCCAGGCAGGCAGGAGGACUGAAAACGAACAAGCUGCAAGUUCUCUUCUCCGUUCCGUCUGCUUUCCGCCUUUCACUCUUUCAGCUCCAGUUGCCGGACCGUCGAUUUCUUGCAUGAAAUUUAUUGGCAGCCAGUGCCAACGACCAGCAACAAUGCAUCGCUGAUUUCCAUAGCCUGAGGGGUUAUGGUUACCAUAAAAUCAUGCUAAUUUCAGUGACUGAGCAAUGACGACAUAUUAUGGCCAUCGAAUUGGGGGAUUUUAGUGGUCCCUCCAGCACUGGCUUAGUUUCAUCUGUGCGCAGACCAGGCUUUGGAGAUUACAUGACUUUUGGUAACUCCAAUCAACAGAUAUGGGAAAUGACACCACCGCAGCUGGUGUCAAAUGUGUCCUUCAAUACUCGUAGAUCGUAUUCACUUCCGCUAUUACUAAUAAUCGUAUCUAAUCUGAGACAUUAAUCUGAGACGUACCAUAUCAUAAGCACAUCGAAUGGGUAUAGUAACCAUGUAUUAUCCAACAAUUUCUGCUUAUAAAUAGCCUAGAUAAUAGACUACCUCGAACCAGACUCAAAACUCAGACAACCAGAAAUGAAGGUCGCAACUUCAGCAAUGCUACUCCUUAUGCUCGUGGAAGCGGCUGUGGGCGUGCCGGCCUGGGGCCGUAUGACUUCGCGAAAGCCAACGCCAAAGCAAAGCCAAGCACAAUUUCAGAAAUGGUGUAGACUUAACUUUGGUCCGGCCUGGGGUGGCAGGGGAUGCUAGACAAAAAGAAUUCAUCUAGGAUGCAGCUUAGUCGUACUUAACCAUCGCAAAUCUCGACUGAGUAAAUAAGAAAAUAUAUUUUCUGGUCAGAUUUGGACAGACUGCACCGAUUGUUAAUUUUUUAAAACCUUUUCUGUCUCUAUUGUCUGUUAUUUGUAUCUCUCUGUAGAUAGUGUCUUAUUUCCACAAAUUCCAAUCUUUCUAUACUUUAUCUAUUGCACUCUCAGCAACAAUGGACAAAAAUUCGUAUCUUUAUUUCAGUUUGUGUAUUUUGUCCUUUAUUUUUUGUUUAUCUCUGAAAUACUUUGAACUCUUUUAAUUGCCUAAUCACUUCCCCAGCUAGCUAUAUUAUGAUAUAAUCUCAAUAUAAAUUAAACCAUACCCAAGGCAUAUCGAAUGGUUUGUACAGUUCCAUA